This 446-nucleotide ribosomal RNA is filed under the name uncultured bacterium. RNAcentral's name for it is "partial 16S ribosomal RNA". It matches the Rfam family "Bacterial small subunit ribosomal RNA", at positions 338 to 795 of the family's 1533-position model. The record is from RNAcentral.
CCUACGGGUCGCAGCAGUCGAGAAUCAUUCACAAUGGGGGAAACCCUGAUGGUGCGACGCCGCGUGGGGGAAUGAAGGUCUUCGGAUUGUAAACCCCUGUCAUGUGGGAGCAAAUUAAAAAGAUAGUACCACAAGAGGAAGAGACGGCUAACUCUGUGCCAGCAGCCGCGGUAAUACAGAGGUCUCAAGCGUUGUUCGGAAUCACUGGGCGGAAAGCGUGCGUAGGCUGUUUCGUAAGUCGUGUGUGAAAGGCGCGGGCUCAACCCGCGGACGGCACAUGAUACUGCGAGACUAGAGUAAUGGAGGGGGAACCGGAAUUCUCGGUGUAGCAGUGAAAUGCGUAGAUAUCGAGAGGAACACUCGUGGCGAAGGCGGGUUCCUGGACAUUAACUGACGCUGAGGCACGAAGGCCAGGGGAGCGAAAGGGAUUAGAUACCCCAGUAGUC